Molecule: ribosomal RNA, 495 nt
Filed under: uncultured bacterium
Lineage: Bacteria
Description: partial 16S ribosomal RNA
Rfam family: Bacterial small subunit ribosomal RNA
Source: RNAcentral
GACGAACGCUGGCGGCGUGCCUAAUACAUGCAAGUAGAACGCUGAAGGAGGAGCUUGCUUCUCUGGUCGAGUUGCGAACGGGUGAGUAACGCGUAGGUAACCUGCCUGGUAGCGGGGGAUAACUAUUGGAAACGAUAGCUAAUACCGCAUAAGAGUAGCUGCUGCAUGACAUUUGCUUAAAAGGUGCAAUUGCAUCACUACCAGAUGGACCUGCGUUGUAUUAGCUUGUUGGUGGGGUAACGGCUCACCAAGGCGACGAUACAUCGCCGACCUGAGAGGGGGGUCGGCCACCCUGGGACUGUGACACGGCCCAGACUCCUACGGGAGGCAGCAGGAGGGCAUCUUCGGCAAUGGGCGGAAGUCUGACCGAGCAACGCCGCGGGAGUGAAGAAGGGUUUCGGGUCGUAAAGCUCGGUUGUAAGGGAAGAACGAGUGUUAGAGUGGAAAGUUCACACUGUGACGGUAUCUUACCAGAAAGCGACGGCUAACUACGUG